This 467-nucleotide ribosomal RNA is filed under the name uncultured bacterium. RNAcentral describes it as "partial 16S ribosomal RNA". It matches the Rfam family "Bacterial small subunit ribosomal RNA", at positions 28 to 506 of the family's 1533-position model. The record is from RNAcentral.
GACGAACGCUGGCGGCGUGCUUAACACAUGCAAGUCGAACGGAAAGGCCCUGCUUUUGUGGGGUGCUCGAGUGGCGAACGGGUGAGUAACACGUGAGUAACCUGCCCUUGACUUUGGGAUAACUUCAGGAAACUGGGGCUAAUACCGGAUAGGAGCUCCUGCUGCAUGGUGGGGGUUGGAAAGUUUCGGCGGUUGGGGAUGGACUCGCGGCUUAUCAGCUUGUUGGUGGGGUAGUGGCUUACCAAGGCUUUGACGGGUAGCCGGCCUGAGAGGGUGACCGGCCACAUUGGGACUGAGAUACGGCCCAGACUCCUACGGGAGGCAGCAGUGGGGAAUAUUGCACAAUGGGCGGAGGCCUGAUGCAGCAACGCCGCGUGCGGGAUGACGGCCUUCGGGUCGGAAACCGCUUUCGCCUGUGACGAAGCGUGAGUGACGGUAAUGGGUAAAGAAGCACCGGCUAACUACGU